RNAcentral lists this ribosomal RNA (225 nucleotides) under uncultured Silanimonas sp. Its description in RNAcentral is "partial 16S ribosomal RNA". It matches the Rfam family "Bacterial small subunit ribosomal RNA", at positions 568 to 792 of the family's 1533-position model. The record is from RNAcentral. Lineage: Bacteria; Pseudomonadati; Pseudomonadota; Gammaproteobacteria; Lysobacterales; Lysobacteraceae.
UGCGUAGGCGGUUUGUUAAGUCUGACGUGAAAUCCCCGGGCUCAACCUGGGACGUGCGUUGGAAACUGGCAAUCUAGAGUACGGUAGAGGGUGGUGGAAUUCCCGGUGUAGCAGUGAAAUGCGUAGAGAUCGGGAGGAACACUCGUGGCGAAGGCAAUCCCCUGGGCCUGCACUGACGCUCAUGCACGAAAGCGUGGGGAGCAAACAGGAUUAGAUACCCGCGUA